Long non-coding RNA from Sinocyclocheilus anshuiensis, 91 nucleotides. RefSeq lists it as uncharacterized. The transcript has 4 exons. The record is from RefSeq and is a predicted model, not a curated record. NCBI's taxonomy places the organism in Eukaryota, Metazoa, Chordata, Actinopteri, Cypriniformes, Cyprinidae.
CUCCUGAUUCAGACAAGAUGACUUUUUGUACUGGAGAAAGCAAUAUUGGGGAUAGAGGGCUCAUAUUUUAGCCGAAAACAAUGGUUUGAAG